AUGGACUUCUUUUCAGGAUUCAAACUUGGUUCUGAAAAGCACACCACAGAGGUCACCGUGAAGAAGUCUGGAAGCCUGCUUAUAAAUUCUGGGAUACAAGGAUACUCCCUGCUAAAGACAACUCAGUCUGGAUUUGAAGGAUUCGUGAGGGAUCGCUACACUCUUCUUCCUGAAACAAGAGAAAGAAUUGUAGCUACAGAAGUAACUGCUUGGUGGAGCAGAUGA
This 225-nucleotide ribosomal RNA is filed under the name Triticum aestivum (bread wheat). Its description in RNAcentral is "partial small subunit ribosomal RNA". The record is from RNAcentral. Lineage: Eukaryota; Viridiplantae; Streptophyta; Magnoliopsida; Poales; Poaceae.